This 377-nucleotide long non-coding RNA is filed under the name Rosa chinensis. RNAcentral's name for it is "sRNA RchiOBHm_Chr1g0318581". The record is from RNAcentral. Lineage: Eukaryota; Viridiplantae; Streptophyta; Magnoliopsida; Rosales; Rosaceae.
UAGACAGGUUUGAACACUUAAUCAUUGCAAAUGUUGCUAUUGUUCCUCUAGAUCUCAAGAUGAAUCGACUAAAUUAGUUAUUCUUUUGAGUUUAUUUUUGUCCUUGGAAGCUAGUCAUAUAAAAAUCAGAGAAUAUCUGUGUCAUACAUGACCCAGCUCAUUCUGUCACUUCUAUGUUGUAAAACAGUAAUGAAGAUGUAGCUAUGCUUCUCCGUUGUGACUUACGACCUUAUACCAUUUCAAGAAACAGAAGAAACUUCCUUGUCUGUGAAGUCUUCUUUUGCAACCAGGAGAUAUUGAUAUAAUGGCAUCAACCACAAUUUGAGAUCAAUUUGCUAUUUUCAGCUUUCCUGUGUUGUUAACUUUGUAAUGUAGUU